ACGUAGGAGGCGAGCGUUAUCCGGAUUUACUGGGCGUAAAGCGUGCGCAGGCGGUUUCGUAAGGCAGAUGUGAAAUCCCCGGGCUUAACCUGGGAACUGCGUUUGUGACUGCGAGACUUGAGUGCGGCAGAGGGGGGUGGAAUUCCACGUGUAGCAGUGAAAUGCGUAGAGAUGUGGAGGAACACCGAUGGCGAAGGCAGCCCCCUGGGUCGACACUGACGCUCAGGUACGAAAGCGUGGGGAGCAAACAG
RNAcentral lists this ribosomal RNA (251 nucleotides) under uncultured prokaryote. RNAcentral describes it as "partial 16S ribosomal RNA". It matches the Rfam family "Bacterial small subunit ribosomal RNA", at positions 525 to 775 of the family's 1533-position model. The record is from RNAcentral.